Molecule: unclassified non-coding RNA, 393 nt
Filed under: uncultured Ceratobasidium
Lineage: Eukaryota; Fungi; Basidiomycota; Agaricomycetes; Cantharellales; Ceratobasidiaceae
Description: sequence contains ITS1
Rfam family: 5.8S ribosomal RNA (bases 1-105)
Source: RNAcentral
GAAAUGCGAUAAGUAAUGUGAAUUGCAGAAUUCAGUGAAUCAUCGAAUCUUUGAACGCACCUUGCGCUCCUUGGUAUUCCUUGGAGCAUGCCUGUUUGAGUAUCAUGAAAUUAUCAAAGCAAGUCUUUUGUUAACUCGAUCGACUCUUUGGAUUUGGAGGUCUCUGCAGAUUUAACCUUCUGCUCCUCUUAAAUGCAUUAGCUGGAUCUCAGUAUAUGCUCGGUUCCACUCGGCGUGAUAAGUAUCACUCGCUGAGGACACUUUUAUUUAUUUAUUUAUUUAUUUAAAGGUGGCCGGGAAAUACAGAUUGAACCGCUUCUAACAGUCUAUUAAAUUAGACAAAUAAUUUUAAGAUCUGAUCUCAAAUCAGGUAGGACUACCCGCUGAACUUAA